AAAGAAAGAGAGAGAAAUAUAGUACAUUAUAAUAUAAAAAAUUACAAAAACUCUCUCUCUAUUGCUAUCCAUUUCUUCCUCUUGAAACUCUUUCCUUUCCUUUCUACUGUCAUCUCAUGUCACCACACUAAUUAGAUAGAUAAUUGCACAAUCUACUAACACAAGGUGCAUUGAAUGCAGUGUCUCCUCUUCUCUGUUACUUAGACUUGUAGGCAUUCAACUAAAACACAAUUUUGUGUCUGUUACAAGCCCAUUUGAGAUUGUGGAUACAAUGAUUUUGUGGUUUGUAUGAUCAUGAGAGGCAAUAAUCAAAGUUUGAACCAAGUUCUGUGCCCUUAGACAUUGGAAUUACAUAUGGAUCUAAAGUUUGUGAUUUUUUCCCCUUUUUUUCAGUUUGAAUUUCCCAUAGAGCAUAUCAACAUUAUUUCACAAGUUUUCAACACAAUGUAGAUUUAGAGAUUGAAAUGGCUAAUAAAUUAAUUCAAUGUUUGACAGGCUGUUACUAAUUAUAUCAGAUUAUUGUAUCCACAAUAGAAAUAUAUAUAUAUAUAUAUAUAUAUGUAUAAAAGAAAUAUUUAUAAGGGAGAGAUUGUGAAGUGGUGGAGGAUUUUUCUUUCCCAAUUUCCAUGUCGUUUAUAAAAUUGCAAAAAUUGAUACUUGUUCUGCAAUAUUCAAUGAUGUGUUCUGAGUUAAUAUUUAAAAAAUGGAUUUUGUGAUUAUGAUGAACAUUCUGACAUCUAUUUUUACACUAAAAGAUUAAACUAUGGAUCAAUUACACGAAAUGAAUCAUCUUAAUGUGCUGCAUUUCAUUACUACUAUGUACUUACAUAAUUAUAUUCUUUAUCUUUUCAUUUUAUAAACCUACAAUCAAAAUACAUUUUUGCAAAGAAAAAGAAAGAAAAAAACCGUAAUUUUAGUGUUUCACAUUAUAUUUAAAUGUAGUUUGAAUAUGAUUAAUGUUGCACCACAAAAUAAAUUCCAUCUGAUUACAUAUAUCAUCAUUUGUUUAUCAGUGCAGUGAUUUCAAGUGAUUUAAAUAUGUUUACACUGUAACAAAAACUGAUAAAUAAAUAAAUAAAAUGCAAAUGCAAAUGCAAAUGCAACUACAGGUAGAGAACAUGCUCAAAUUAAAUGUACUUGAAUGUAC
Molecule: long non-coding RNA, 1147 nt
Filed under: Physcomitrium patens
Lineage: Eukaryota; Viridiplantae; Streptophyta; Bryopsida; Funariales; Funariaceae
Description: long non-coding RNA (PPAT_LNC002252)
Source: RNAcentral